Molecule: long non-coding RNA, 823 nt
Organism: Cyprinodon tularosa
Lineage: Eukaryota; Metazoa; Chordata; Actinopteri; Cyprinodontiformes; Cyprinodontidae
Exons: 5
Source: RefSeq, a predicted model, not a curated record
CUUUAUCACAGAGAAGCCUUCAACCACCUCUCGGUCCAUCACAACCAUUCUCACAGGGACAACCACCACAAUCUCUGUCACCACAAACUCAACUGCUCUGGUUUCUUCCACCGUUCUCUUCCCAGUAUUGGUUCCUACUGCAUGUGUCUGUGUUUUGGUUUUCCUGGUGGUGCUGGUCGUACUGGUGAGACAACGUGUUCACAACAAACCUGAAGCUACCGAAGGAGGAGGAGGAGGAGGAGGAGGAGAGGGGGAUGAAGUCACGUACAGCCAUGUCCAAAUACAGCAGAGUAAAGAAGAGAAAACCAAACCCAGACAAGAACAUGACGGUGAUCCAUCUAUAGUCUACUCAACCAUAAGAACAGGGGAAGUGACUUAUGGGGAGAUAAUCAUCAAAAAGAAGAAGAAGUCAAAGGCCAAAGAAAAAGAGAGUCAACCAGACCCAGACGUGGUCUACUCCUCGGUAGGAGGACCCAGAGCCAACCCGUGACCUCCAACAGCUUCCAGUAACUGGCUGGAGAGAUGAAUCUUCCUCACUGGGAGCAAACCGUGACUUCGCAUUCCCAUAAACUGGUUUCCAGUGGUAGAUCAGGAAACUGGUGCUUCAUCUGGAAUGUUGCACCCAGGAGUUAUUGUUGUGUUUUUAUUAAAUUCAAGAAAAAUGAUUGAAAAGCGGAAAAUAAUUUUGAAAACCAAUGUUUUUAAAUCCAAGUCUUUGCUGUCAGUCCAAGCUCACAAGAGGCUAACCCUUAGCUUUUCAUGCAUUUAAAGGGGUCAUAGAAUGCAAAACCGAGUUUACGUUGUCAUUGAAUAAUAACGAUAG